CGGGCCAAGAACGAGGUGGAGUGGCGGAUGUCGGAGGAGUUGAGCCACGCGGCGGGGAAACUCUGAAGCGGGCAUGCAACUCGAGUGCGCCUGUCGCGGAAGAUCGGGGGAAAAGAUCUCGUGGGUCCACCGGUCAGACUGAAGGGAGGUGUUGGGGGAUGACUCAGAAAGAUCUGGCGGGUGAGUUGGGGUCGGCGGGGUCGGAACUGGAGGCCAGCGGAGAGGGGUCGGGUCUCAGGGGUCGGGACCGGUCAGGAGGUUGAACACUUAGGCUUGGAAAACUAAGGCAGGUGAUCAGGGGCUCGGAUUAAGAUUGACGCGAGAGAAUUGGGGUCAGUCGUCACAGCCUACCCCUCUUAAAAAGAAUCUCGUCCCGAGAUUCAGGUGUAAGAGUAGGGUGUACAGUCCUUACCUCCUUCACGAGACAGAAAACCUGGAAAGUACUUGUUCAAAUACUCGUCUGUUUCCCAUGUUGCUUCAUCCUCCGUGUGGUUACUCCAGAGGAUUUUGUACAUUCUGACCAUUUG
RNAcentral lists this long non-coding RNA (527 nucleotides) under Setaria viridis. RNAcentral's name for it is "long non-coding RNA (SVIR_LNC010951)". The record is from RNAcentral. Lineage: Eukaryota; Viridiplantae; Streptophyta; Magnoliopsida; Poales; Poaceae.